CACGAACCCGACGAACGUUAUUCGGAAUUAUUGGGCUUAAAGGGUGCGUAGGCGGUGCGGUAAGUGAGGUGUGAAAUCCCUCGGCUCAACCGAGGAAUUGCGCUUCAUACUGCCGUGCUGGAGGGAGACAGAGGUAAGCGGAACUGAUGGUGGAGCGGUGAAAUGCGUUGAUAUCAUCAGGAACACCGGUGGCGAAAGCGGCUUACUGGGUCUUCUCUGACGCUGAGGCACGAAAGAUAGGGUAGCGAACGGG
RNAcentral lists this ribosomal RNA (253 nucleotides) under uncultured bacterium. RNAcentral's name for it is "partial 16S ribosomal RNA". It matches the Rfam family "Bacterial small subunit ribosomal RNA", at positions 524 to 776 of the family's 1533-position model. The record is from RNAcentral.